GACGAACCAUCCAAACGUUAUUCGGAAUUACUGGGCUUAAAGGGUGCGUAGGCUGCGCAGAAAGUUGGGUGUGAAAUCCCUCGGCUUAACCGAGGAACUGCGCCCAAAACUACUGUGCUUGAGGGAGACAGAGGUGAGCGGAACUUAGGGUGGAGCGGUGAAAUGCGUUGAUAUCCUAAGGAACACCCGUGGCGAAAGCGGCUCACUGGGUCUCUUCUGACGCUGAUGCACGAAAGCUAGGGGAGCGAACAGG
This 253-nucleotide ribosomal RNA is filed under the name uncultured bacterium. Its description in RNAcentral is "partial 16S ribosomal RNA". It matches the Rfam family "Bacterial small subunit ribosomal RNA", at positions 524 to 776 of the family's 1533-position model. The record is from RNAcentral.